RNAcentral lists this ribosomal RNA (301 nucleotides) under uncultured bacterium. RNAcentral describes it as "partial 16S ribosomal RNA". It matches the Rfam family "Bacterial small subunit ribosomal RNA", at positions 509 to 807 of the family's 1533-position model. The record is from RNAcentral.
CAGUCGCCACGGGAAUACGUAGGUGGCAAGCGUUGCCCGGAUUUAUUGGGCGUAAAGCGAGCGCAGGCGGUUCCUUAAGUCUGAUGUGAAAGCCCCCGGCUCAACCGGGGAGGGUCAUUGGAAACUGGGGAACUUGAGUGCAGAAGAGGAGAGUGGAAUUCCAUGUGUAGCGGUGAAAUGCGUAGAUAUAUGGAGGAACACCAGUGGCGAAGGCGACUCUCUGGUCUGUAACUGACGCUGAGGCUCGAAAGCGUGGGUAGCAAACAGGAUUAGAUACCCGCGUAGUCCCUGUCUCUUAUAC